UGUGUUUAAAAAAAAAGCACUAAAAAAAACUUUUUUUUUAAUACUGAAAAUAGUAGAGUUCUUAAAUUCGC
This 71-nucleotide transfer RNA is filed under the name Paratenuisentis ambiguus. RNAcentral's name for it is "transfer RNA-Ser". The record is from RNAcentral. Lineage: Eukaryota; Metazoa; Acanthocephala; Eoacanthocephala; Neoechinorhynchida; Tenuisentidae.